This 322-nucleotide ribosomal RNA is filed under the name uncultured eukaryote. RNAcentral describes it as "partial 18S ribosomal RNA". It matches the Rfam family "Eukaryotic small subunit ribosomal RNA", at positions 1470 to 1796 of the family's 1831-position model. The record is from RNAcentral.
CCCUUAGAUGUUCUGGGCCGCACGCGUGCUACACUGAGUGGAUCAGCGGGUCAGGUUGCGCGAAAGUGUUUCCUAAUCUUGAACUCCGCUCGUGAUGGGGAUUGACGGUUGCAAUUUUCCGUCAUGAACGAGGAAUACCUUGUAAGCGCGGGUCAUCAUCCCGCGCUGAAUACGUCCCUGCCCUUUGUACACACCGCCCGUCGCUCCUACCGAUUGAGUGGUCCGGUGAGGCUUUGGGAUCUGAGCGGAAAGAGCGUUUCGCUGUUUCUGCUCGGAAAACUCAGUCGAACCUUAUCAUUUAGAGGAAGGAGAAGUCGUAACA